CAGUCGCCGCGGUAACACGUAGGUGGCAAGCGUUGUCCGGAAUUAUUGGGCGUAAAGGGCUCGCAGGCGGUUUCUUAAGUCUGAUGUGAAAGCCCCCGGCUCAACCGGGGAGGGUCAUUGGAAACUGGGAAACUUGAGUGCAGAAGAGGAGAGUGGAAUUCCACGUGUAGCGGUGAAAUGCGUAGAGAUGUGGAGGAACACCAGUGGCGAAGGCGACUCUCUGGUCUGUAACUGACGCUGAGGAGCGAAAGCGUGGGGAGCGAACAGGAUUAGAUACCCCGGUAGUCCCUGUCUCUUAUAC
RNAcentral lists this ribosomal RNA (301 nucleotides) under uncultured bacterium. RNAcentral's name for it is "partial 16S ribosomal RNA". It matches the Rfam family "Bacterial small subunit ribosomal RNA", at positions 509 to 807 of the family's 1533-position model. The record is from RNAcentral.